This 348-nucleotide ribosomal RNA is filed under the name uncultured Thermus sp. Its description in RNAcentral is "bacterial SSU rRNA". It matches the Rfam family "Bacterial small subunit ribosomal RNA", at positions 1033 to 1382 of the family's 1533-position model. The record is from RNAcentral. Lineage: Bacteria; Thermotogati; Deinococcota; Deinococci; Thermales; Thermaceae.
CACAGGUGCUGCAUGGCCGUCGUCAGCUCGUGCCGUGAGGUGUUGGGUUAAGUCCCGCAACGAGCGCAACCCCGCCGUUAGUUGCCAGCGGUUCGGCCGGGCACUCUAACGGGACUGCCCGCGAAAGCGGGAGGAAGGAGGGGACGACGUCUGGUCAGCAUGGCCCUUACGGCCUGGGCGACACACGUGCUACAAUGCCCACUUACAAAGCGAUGCCACCCGGCAACGGGGAGCUAAUCGCAAAAAGGUGGGCCCAGUUCGGAUUGAAGUCUGCAACUCGACUUCAUGAAGUUGGAAUCGCUAGUAAUCGCGGAUCAGCAUGCCGCGGUGAAUACGUUCCCGGGCCUU